AGUUGGUGAGGUAACGGCUCACCAAGACCGCGAUCGGUAGCCGGACUGAGAGGUUGAACGGCCACAUUGGGACUGAGACACGGCCCAGACUCCUACGGGAGGCAGCAGUGGGGGAUAUUGCGCAAUGGGGGCAACCCUGACGCAGCAACGCCGCGUGAAGGAUGAAGGUUUUCGGAUUGUAAACUUCUUUUAUUAAGGACGAAAAAUGACGGUACUUAAUGAAUAAGCUCCGGCUAACUACGUGCCAGCAGCCGCGGUAAUACGUAGGGAGCAAGCGUUGUCCGGAUUUACUGGGUGUAAAGGGAGCGCAGGCGGGAAGACAAGUUGGAAGUGAAAUCUAUGGGCUCAACCCAUAAACUGCUUUCAAAACUGUUUUUCUUGAGUAGUGCAGAGGUAGGCGGAAUUCCCGGUGUAGCGGUGGAAUGCGUAGAUAUCGGGAGGAACACCAGUGGCGAAGGCGGCCUACUGGGCACCAACUGACGCUGAGGCUCGAAAGUGUGGGUAGCAAACAGGAUUAGAUACCCUGGUAGUCCACACCGUAAACGAUGAUUACUAGGUGUUGGAGGAUUGACCCCUUCAGUGCCGCAGUUAACACAAUAAGUAAUCCACCUGGGGAGUACGACCGCAAGGUUGAAACUCAAAGGAAUUGACGGGGGCCCGCACAAGCAGUGGAGUAUGUGGUUUAAUUCGACGCAACGCGAAGAACCUUACCAAGUCUUGACAUCCUGCGACGCACAUAGAAAUAUGUGUUUCCUUCGGGACGCAGAGACAGGUGGUGCAUGGUUGUCGUCAGCUCGUGUCGUGAGAUGUUGGGUUAAGUCCCGCAACGAGCGCAACCCUUACUGUCAGCUACUACGCAAGAGGACUCUGGCAGGACUGCCGUUGACAAAACGGAGGAAGGUGGGGAUGACGUCAAAUCAUCAUGCCCUUUAUGACUUGGGCUACACACGUACUACAAUGGCGUUAAACAAAGAGAAGCAAGACCGCGAGGUGGAGCAAAACUCAGAAACAACGUCCCAGUUCGGACUGCAGGCUGCAACUCGCCUGCACGAAGUCGGAAUUGCUAGUAAUCGUGGAUCAGCAUGCCACGGUGAAUACGUUCCCGGGCCUUGUACACACCGCCCGUCACACCAUGAGAGCCGGGGGGACCCGAAGUCGGUAGUCUAACCGCAAGGAGGACGCCGCCGAAGGUAAAACUGGUGAUUGGGGUGAAGUCGUAACAAGGUAACCGUACUAGUACGCAGGCCA
This 1248-nucleotide ribosomal RNA is filed under the name metagenome. RNAcentral's name for it is "bacterial SSU rRNA". It matches the Rfam family "Bacterial small subunit ribosomal RNA", at positions 247 to 1533 of the family's 1533-position model. The record is from RNAcentral.